Molecule: ribosomal RNA, 493 nt
Filed under: uncultured bacterium
Lineage: Bacteria
Description: partial 16S ribosomal RNA
Rfam family: Bacterial small subunit ribosomal RNA
Source: RNAcentral
GACGAACGCUGGCGGCGUGCUUAACACAUGCAAGUCGAACGGAAAGGCCUGCUUUCCCUUGUGGAUUGCGGGUACUCGAGUGGCGAACGGGUGAGUAACACGUGAGUGAUCUGCCCCCAACUUGGGUAUAAGCCUGGGAAACUGGGUCUAAUUCCCGAUAGGACUGCAGGGUGGUGCCUGUGGUGGAAAACGAUUUUCUAGUGGUUGGGGAUGAGCUCGCGGCCUAUCAGCUUGUUGGUGGGGUAAUGGCCUACCAAGGCGGCGACGGGUAGCCGGCCUGAGGGGGGGGACGGCCAAAUUGGGACUGGGAGACGGCCCAGACUCCUAGGGGGGGCAGCGGGGGGGAAUAUUGCAAAAUGGGGGGAAGCCUGAUGCAGCGCCGCCGCGGGGGGGGGGACGGCCUUGGGGUUGUAAACCCCUUUCGACCGCGGGGAAGCCACCUGGUUGGAAGGGGGGUGAGGGUGGGGGUAGAAGAAGCACCGGCUAACUACGU